This 2141-nucleotide long non-coding RNA is filed under the name Nicotiana tabacum (common tobacco). Its description in RNAcentral is "long non-coding RNA (NTAB_LNC001939)". Lineage: Eukaryota; Viridiplantae; Streptophyta; Magnoliopsida; Solanales; Solanaceae. The record is from RNAcentral.
AGAAACCCGUCAUGAGAUAACAAGAAUAAAUCAUAAGGGAAUACUCAACAUAUGACGAUCCAACAUGAUAUACAAACUUAUACAUGUGACAUACAUGCCUAUAAGGCCGACAUGACCAUUUGUAAACUCAACACAUAGGCCAAUAAGGCCAUACACGUAUCCAUAAAUCUGAUAUUUGUCUACAAGCCUCUAAGAGUACAUAAAAUCAUAAGGUCGGGACAGGGCCCGCCAUACCAAUCAAUACAUAUCCAAAGCAUACUGACCAAAUAAGCAACUCCGGAGCAAGUGGAGUGCACCAACACCUCCGCUGAGCUGAUAGCCUACUAGGAAGACUGUCAACCUAUCAAUCGGGACCUGCGGGCUUGAAACGCAGCGUCCCCAGGCAAAAGGGAUGUCAGUACAAAUAAAGUACUGAGUAUGUAAGGCAGGAAAGCAUAAACAAGAACAUUAAUGUAAAGAGAGAUAGAGGAGAUACAACCUGUAACAUCUGCGUGCCUCUGGGAGCUACUGACAUGAAGUGCAUAAUACAUAUAUAUACAUAAACUUUUAAAAACAUACGCCUCUGUAGGCAUCAUCAUCAUCAUAUCGUACCCGGCCUCAAAGAGGACUCGGUAAAAACGUACCCGGCCAUCAUAAGGCUCGGUAGAAUCGUACCCGGCCACGUGGAGCUCGGUAAAUCCAACUGAUUAGUGGUUGCACAAUAGGUGUCGUACCCGACCUACUAUAGUGCGGCUCGGUAGAUCAAAAUAGAUAUUAUAUAUAAUGCAUGCUAGACUCAUGGAAUCACGUUCUAAACCUUUCAGAGUAACGUAACGUCAUUUCACCUUUGAUUAGCAUUAUGGACAUCAUACCAUCAAUAUGAACUUCACUAGGACUCAAGGAUCAUACAUACUUUCUUAGAAUAACUUUGUACGGAAAUAACAACAUGUACAACCUUAUUUGCUAGGAGUAGAUUCAUUAUGAAAUAGUGUAUCGUUUAUGUUCAUUUCAAUUUAGAUCAUGCCAAAAGAAAGAAUAAAGUGCCUUAACAUACCUUAACCAUGGUGAGUCCUUAAUACCUCCCAAGCUACUCUUCAAACAACUCAACUCAAUCCACCAUUACAUAAGGAGAUUCAAAAUCAGUGUUGAAUAAAGGCUAAAUCUGCAACUUAAACUUGUAGCUCGUUUAUAUAAAUUCGGGCAGCAUUUCCCCUGUAACAAGAGCCUCCUCCAAUAUAAUAUACCCACAAAAAUUACCAGAGAAAUCCAGCAAUACAUAAUCAUCAAUAACAAGACACCAUAAAACAACAACAAGUCAUAACUAUUUUACGACGAGCGACAAGCUCCAAUUGGAAUUCGUAUACCCCAUAUCAUCCCUUAUAGACUUUUUACUUUAAAUUAAUAGUAUCAUUAACAUGAAGUCAUUCAUCAGUAAUUCCAGCCUUAUACCAUAUAUCCAUAACAAAGAAAAUGAUCCACAACUCCAAUUAUUCUUAAUUGGCAACUUUAUUCACUAGUUCAUGUCUAGUUCAUCCAUUUAACUCAACCGAUGUUAAUAUAACCUUAAGAACUUAUUGGAACACAAUAUAAUUACCUCCUAAAGUAGAUGCAAGUCGAAAUCCAUGUUAUAUUUAGGUUACAACAGCCCAACAUACCCCAAUCAAUUCAUACCAAAAACAACGACUAUAGUAGUGUCCAACACCCCGAAAGUAUUAUAAAGAAUGACUAAUCCAUUAUUUCACCAAUAUGUGGUUUUUCUCCACAUCAUUUAUCCUCCAAAAACUCCAUUAAAUAGCAGCAAAAUAUACAGCUCAAAAGCUUCACGAAACAGCCCACGAAACAGUCCAUUACAAAUCAAAUAACUCGAACUCACGGCUUUCGAUCACCGUCCCGUGAGUUCUAAAUAUUAUGAAAUGAAUUAAUCAACCUUACUUGAUAUUUAAGAUCUUGAAACCAGAAAUUAGGCAUUUUUAUUAACUUCAAAAUACCUUCCAAAACUCAAACUACAAAGAAAAAGAGAGGUUAUAUAGCAAUACUUACGUCGUGGCGAUCGUUCUUGUGUUAUUGCUUCGUGAUUUCGUGCCUCGGAUGAUAGUAUCGUUGAAAAUCCUUAUGGAGGACUUGAGGAUGAGUUUAGGGGUGUUAUAUGGUCGAGCUCUCUG